ACGAGCCACAUGCAGGGAAACUUGCACGUGUGGUUCUGGCCGGGGACACCCCGGU
Molecule: non-coding RNA, 55 nt
Organism: Eutrema salsugineum
Lineage: Eukaryota; Viridiplantae; Streptophyta; Magnoliopsida; Brassicales; Brassicaceae
Source: Rfam